UACGUAGGGUGCGAGCGUUGUCCGGAAUUAUUGGGCGUAAAGAGCUUGUAGGCGGUUUGUCGCGUCUGCUGUGAAAACUCGAGGCUCAACCUCGAGACGUCGGCGGAAACCAUCUGGCUAGAGUCCGGAAGAGGAGAGUGGAAUUCCUGGUGUAGCGGUGAAAUGCGCAGAUAUCAGGAAGAACACCCGGUGGCGAAGGCGGGUCUCU
RNAcentral lists this ribosomal RNA (208 nucleotides) under uncultured bacterium. Its description in RNAcentral is "partial 16S ribosomal RNA". It matches the Rfam family "Bacterial small subunit ribosomal RNA", at positions 524 to 730 of the family's 1533-position model. The record is from RNAcentral.